RNAcentral lists this unclassified non-coding RNA (314 nucleotides) under uncultured fungus. RNAcentral describes it as "partial contains small subunit ribosomal RNA, internal transcribed spacer 1, and 5.8S ribosomal RNA". The stretch from base 1 to 73 matches the Rfam family "Eukaryotic small subunit ribosomal RNA", at positions 1759 to 1831 of the family's 1831-position model. The record is from RNAcentral. Lineage: Eukaryota; Fungi.
GCAAACUUGGUCAUUUAGAGGAAGUAAAAGUCGUAACAAGGUUUCCGUAGGUGAACCUGCGGAAGGAUCAUCAAUGAAAUCCUAUUGAAUUUUUUUUUAUAAAGAAAAUAAACACUUCUUUAUAAAAAGAAAUUCUCUUAUUAUUAUAUAAACGCCUUUAAUUGUGUGUGAAUUUAAUCAAUUAUCGUUAUUAUCCAAUAAUAAUGAUGAUAGUUGAUAAAUUUUUUUAUACAAAUUGGAUUUUUAUAAUCUAUAAAAAACAAACAACUUUUAACGAUGGAUCUCUUGGCUCUCGCAUCGAUGAAGAACGCAGC